Molecule: ribosomal RNA, 253 nt
Filed under: uncultured bacterium
Lineage: Bacteria
Description: partial 16S ribosomal RNA
Rfam family: Bacterial small subunit ribosomal RNA
Source: RNAcentral
UACGGAGGGUGCAAGCGUUGUUCGGAAUUACUGGGCGUAAAGAGCGUGUAGGCGGUAUGAUAAGUCAGAUGUGAAAGCCCUGGGCUUAACCCAGGAAAAGCAUUUGAAACUGUCAUUCUUGAGUAUGGGAGAGGAGAGUGGAAUUCCCAGUGUAGAGGUGAAAUUCGUAGAUAUUGGGAGGAACAUCCGUGGCGAAGGCGACUCUCUGGACCAAUACUGACGCUGAGACGCGAAAGCGUGGGUAGCAAACAGG